UGUAUAAUGGGUCAGCGACUUAUAUUCUGUAGCAAGGUUAACCGAAUAGGGGAGCCGAAGGGAAACCGAGUCUUAACUGGGCGUUAAGUUGCAGGGUAUAGACCCGAAACCCGGUGAUCUAGCCAUGGGCAGGUUGAAGGUUGGGUAACACUAACUGGAGGACCGAACCGACUAAUGUUGAAAAAUUAGCGGAUGACUUGUGGCUGGGGGUGAAAGGCCAAUCAAACCGGGAGAUAGCUGGUUCUCCCCGAAAGCUAUUUAGGUAGCGCCUCGUGAAUUCAUCUCCGGGGGUAGAGCACUGUUUCGGCAAGGGGGUCAUCCCGACUUACCAACCCGAUGCAAACUGCGAAUACCGGAGAAUGUUAUCACGGGAGACACACGGCGGGUGCUAACGUCCGUCGUGAAGAGGGAAACAACCCAGACCGCCAGCUAAGGUCCCAAAGUCAUGGUUAAGUGGGAAACGAUGUGGGAAGGCCCAGACAGCCAGGAUGUUGGCUUAGAAGCAGCCAUCAUUUAAAGAAAGCGUAAUAGCUCACUGGUCGAGUCGGCCUGCGCGGAAGAUGUAACGGGGCUAAACCAUGCACCGAAGCUGCGGCA
This 597-nucleotide ribosomal RNA is filed under the name Escherichia coli. RNAcentral's name for it is "partial 23S ribosomal RNA". It matches the Rfam family "Bacterial large subunit ribosomal RNA", at positions 609 to 1207 of the family's 2925-position model. Lineage: Bacteria; Pseudomonadati; Pseudomonadota; Gammaproteobacteria; Enterobacterales; Enterobacteriaceae. The record is from RNAcentral.